RNAcentral lists this ribosomal RNA (478 nucleotides) under uncultured bacterium. Its description in RNAcentral is "partial 16S ribosomal RNA". It matches the Rfam family "Bacterial small subunit ribosomal RNA", at positions 28 to 523 of the family's 1533-position model. The record is from RNAcentral.
GACGAACGCUGGCGGCGUGCUUAACACAUGCAAGUCGAACGGUAAGGCCCUUCGGGGUACACGAGUGGCGAACGGGUGAGUAACACGUGGGUGAUCUGCCCUGCACUUCGGGAUAAGCCUGGGAAACUGGGUCUAAUACCGGAUAGGACCACUGCCUGCAUGGGUGGCGGUGGAAAGCUUUUGUGGUGUGGGAUGGGCCCGCGGCCUAUCAGCUUGUUGGUGGGGUGAUGGCCUACCAAGGCGACGACGGGUAGCCGGCCUGAGAGGGUGACCGGCCACACUGGGACUGAGAUACGGCCCAGACUCCUACGGGAGGCAGCAGUGGGGAAUAUUGCACAAUGGGCGCAAGCCUGAUGCAGCGACGCCGCGUGAGGGAUGACGGCCUUCGGGUUGUAAACCUCUUUCAGCACCGACGAAGCGCAAGCGACGGUAGGUGCAGAAGAAGGACCGGCCAACUACGUGCCAGCAGCCGCGGUAA